AGAGUUUGAUCAUGGCUCAGGAUGAACGCUGGCGGCGUGCCUAAUACAUGCAAGUCGAGCGAACAGACGAGGAGCUUGCUCCUUUGACGUUAGCGGCGGACGGGUGAGUAACACGUGGGUAACCUACCUAUAAGACUGGGAUAACUUCGGGAAACCGGAGCUAAUACCGGAUAAUAUUUCGAACCGCAUGGUUCGAUAGUGAAAGAUGGCUCUGCUAUCACUUAUAGAUGGACCUGCGCCGUAUCAGCUAGUUGGUAAGGUAACGGCUUACCAAGGCAACGAUACGUAGCCGACCUGAGAGGGUGAUCGGCCACGCUGGAACUGAGACACGGUCCAGACUCCUACGGGAGGCAGCAGUAGGGAAUCUUCCGCAAUGGGCGAAAGCCUGACGGAGCAACGCCGCGUGAGUGAUGAAGGUCCUCGGAUCGUAAAACUCUGUUAUUAGGGAAGAACAAACGUGUAAGUAACUGUGCACGUCUUGACGGUACCUAAUCAGAAAGCCACGGCUAACUACGUGCCAGCAGCCGCGGUAAUACGUAGGUGGCAAGCGUUAUCCGGAAUUAUUGGGCGUAAAGCGCGCGUAGGUGGUUUUUUAAGUCUGGUGUGAAAGCCCACGGCUCAACCGUGGAGGGUCAUUGGAAACUGGAAAACUUGAGUGCAGAAGAGGAAAGUGGAAUUCCAUGUGUAGCGGUGAAAUGCGCAGAGAUAUGGAGGAACACCAGUGGCGAAGGCGACUUUCUGGUCUGUAACUGACGCUGAUGUGCGAAAGCGUGGGGAUCAAACAGGAUUAGAUACCCUGGUAGUCC
Molecule: ribosomal RNA, 806 nt
Filed under: uncultured bacterium
Lineage: Bacteria
Description: bacterial SSU rRNA
Rfam family: Bacterial small subunit ribosomal RNA
Source: RNAcentral